This 644-nucleotide unclassified non-coding RNA is filed under the name uncultured Prochlorococcus sp. RNAcentral's name for it is "partial 16S-23S ribosomal RNA intergenic spacer; may also contain 16S ribosomal RNA and 23S ribosomal RNA". The stretch from base 302 to 374 matches the Rfam family "tRNA". The record is from RNAcentral. Lineage: Bacteria; Bacillati; Cyanobacteriota; Cyanophyceae; Synechococcales; Prochlorococcaceae.
UUGUGGAGGAGGACGCCGAAGGUGGGGCUAAUGACUGGGGUGAAGUCGUAACAAGGUAGCCGUACCGGAAGGUGCGGCUGGAUCACCUCCUAACAGGGAGACAACAAAAUGUUUAAUAUUAUUUUGUCACCUUAGGUCGAUCGGUAUCUCACGUUCUUAAUUAAUUAAGAAUUUCAAUUCCUAAGUUUUUCUAGGUCACACCCAUUAUUUUUCCUGGGCCAUUAGCUCAGGUGGUUAGAGCGCACCCCUGAUAAGGGUGAGGUCCCUGGUUCAAGUCCAGGAUGGCCCAUAUCUCUAUGUUGGGGGUAUAGCUCAGUUGGUAGAGCGCCUGCUUUGCAAGCAGGAUGUCAGCGGUUCGAGUCCGCUUACCUCCACUGAUUACCACCUCUUCCAUAAUCUGUAGAAAGGAAAUUUUUUGAGUUGUGAUCAACUUCUGGGCGAAUCUAGCUUCCUAAUGAAAUCAUUAAGAUGCUGGACUCAUUGAAUUAAUUUCAUUGUUUUCAGAGAACCUUGACAACUGCAUAGAUUAUUUUUUAAAGACAAUAAGCAUCUUUAAUGAUGCAGAUUUAUUAUUUGUGCGAAUGCAUUAAUAACAAUUCUAUUAAGCUGAUGCUUCAAUUUUGAAGUUAUUGGUCAAGCUACAA